UACGUAGGGGGCAAGCGUUGUCCGGAAUUAUUGGGCGUAAAGAGCGUGUAGGCGGUCCGGUAAGUCAGCUGUGAAAGUCAAGGGCUCAACCCUUGAAUGCCGGUUGAUACUGUCGGGCUAGAGUCCGGAAGAGGCGAGUGGAAUUCCCGGUGUAGCGGUGAAAUGCGCAGAUAUCGGGAGGAGCACCGAUUGCGAAGGCAGCUCGCUGGGACGGUACUGACGCUAAGGCGCGAAAGCGUGGGGAGCGAACAGG
RNAcentral lists this ribosomal RNA (253 nucleotides) under uncultured bacterium. RNAcentral's name for it is "partial 16S ribosomal RNA". It matches the Rfam family "Bacterial small subunit ribosomal RNA", at positions 524 to 776 of the family's 1533-position model. The record is from RNAcentral.